ACAGGAAGGACUCCCUCCAUGCUGCAUCCCCCACCCCCUUUCAGGGCACCCCUGACCCAUGGGUGGGUAGGAUGACGUCCAUGUCCAGCCAGAAGUAGUUACAAGAAGAUGAGACAUUCGUCGAUUGUCCUUUAAAAGAAUUUAAAGUGGGUGUAUAUCU
Molecule: long non-coding RNA, 160 nt
Organism: Phyllostomus discolor (pale spear-nosed bat)
Lineage: Eukaryota; Metazoa; Chordata; Mammalia; Chiroptera; Phyllostomidae
Exons: 2
Source: RefSeq, a predicted model, not a curated record